AGUGAACGCUGGCGGUAGGCCUAACACAUGCAAGUCGAACGGCAGCACAGUAAGAGCUUGCUCUUACGGGUGGCGAGUGGCGGACGGGUGAGGAAUACAUCGGAAUCUACUUUUUCGUGGGGGAUAACGUAGGGAAACUUACGCUAAUACCGCAUACGACCUACGGGUGAAAGCAGGGGAUCUUCGGACCUUGCGCGAUUGAAUGAGCCGAUGUCGGAUUAGCUAGUUGGCGGGGUAAAGGCCCACCAAGGCGACGAUCCGUAGCUGGUCUGAGAGGAUGAUCAGCCACACUGGAACUGGGACACGGUCCAGACUCCUACGGGAGGCAGCAGUGGGGAAUACUGGACAAUGGGCGCAAGCCUGAUCCAGCCAUACCGCGUGGGUGAAGAAGGCCUUCGGGUUGUAAAGCCCUUUUGUUGGGAAAGAAAAGCAGCAGGUUAAUACCCCGCUGUUCUGACGGUACCCAAAGAAUAAGCACCGGCUAACUUCGUG
RNAcentral lists this ribosomal RNA (492 nucleotides) under uncultured bacterium. RNAcentral describes it as "partial 16S ribosomal RNA". It matches the Rfam family "Bacterial small subunit ribosomal RNA", at positions 29 to 507 of the family's 1533-position model. The record is from RNAcentral.